GACGAACGCUGGCGGCGUGCCUAAUACAUGCAAGUUGAGCGCUGAAGGUUGGUACUUGUACCAACUGGAUGAGCAGCGAACGGGUGAGUAACGCGUGGGGAAUCUGCCUUUGAGCGGGGGACAACAUUUGGAAACGAAUGCUAAUACCGCAUAAAAACUUUAAACACAAGUUUUAAGUUUGAAAGAUGCAAUUGCAUCACUCAAAGAUGAUCCCGCGUUGUAUUAGCUAGUUGGUGAGGUAAAGGCUCACCAAGGCGAUGAUACAUAGCCGACCUGAGAGGGUGAUCGGCCACAUUGGGACUGAGACACGGCCCCAACUCCUACGGGAAGCAGCAGUAGGGAAUCUUUGGCAAUAGACGAAAGUCUGACCGAGCAACGCCGCGUGAGUGAAGAAGGGUUUCGGAUCGUAAAACUCUGUUGGUAGAGAAGAACGUUGGUGAGAGUGGAAAGCUCAUCAAGUGACGGUAACUACCCAGAAAGGGACGGCUAACUACGUG
This 497-nucleotide ribosomal RNA is filed under the name uncultured bacterium. Its description in RNAcentral is "partial 16S ribosomal RNA". It matches the Rfam family "Bacterial small subunit ribosomal RNA", at positions 28 to 507 of the family's 1533-position model. The record is from RNAcentral.